Molecule: ribosomal RNA, 652 nt
Filed under: Alphaproteobacteria bacterium RtA01s
Lineage: Bacteria; Pseudomonadati; Pseudomonadota; Alphaproteobacteria
Description: bacterial SSU rRNA
Rfam family: Bacterial small subunit ribosomal RNA
Source: RNAcentral
UGCAGUCGACGGAUCCUUCGGGAUUAGUGGCAGACGGGUGAGUAACGCGUGGGAAGCUACCUUGUGGUAGGGGACAACAGUUGGAAACGACUGCUAAUACCCUAUGAGCCCUAUGGGGGAAAGAUUUAUCGCCAUGAGAUGUGCCCGCGUUAGAUUAGCUAGUUGGUAAGGUAAUGGCUUACCAAGGCGACGAUCUAUAGCUGGUCUGAGAGGAUGAUCAGCCACACUGGGACUGAGACACGGCCCAGACUCCUACGGGAGGCAGCAGUGGGGAAUAUUGGACAAUGGGGGCAACCCUGAUCCAGCCAUGCCGCGUGUGUGAUGACGGCCUUAGGGUUGUAAAGCACUUUCAGCAGUGAAGAUAAUGACAUUAACUGCAGAAGAAGCCCCGGCUAACUUCGUGCCAGCAGCCGCGGUAAUACGAAGGGGGCUAGCGUUGUUCGGAAUCACUGGGCGUAAAGAGUACGUAGGCGGACUGAUAAGUUAGGGGUGAAAUCCCAAGGCUCAACCUUGGAACUGCCUUUGAUACUGUCAGUCUUGAGAUCGAGAGAGGUGAGUGGAACUCCGAGUGUAGAGGUGAAAUUCGUAGAUAUUCGGAAGAACACCAGUGGCGAAGGCGGCUCACUGGCUCGAUACUGACGCUGAGGUACGA